Mangifera indica (mango) is the source of this 1254-nucleotide long non-coding RNA. RefSeq lists it as uncharacterized. Lineage: Eukaryota; Viridiplantae; Streptophyta; Magnoliopsida; Sapindales; Anacardiaceae. The transcript has 2 exons. The record is from RefSeq and is a predicted model, not a curated record.
CUCAAUUUACUAUCUAUUUUUCAUGGAUCGUUGCCAUGUAAAUUAUCAUAUCUUAUUUAUAAGGACGACUUAGUUGGCAUAAUGAUAACUUCAUACAUUUUGAGUCAUGUAUCAAUCUUAGAGUUUCAUUUUGUCAUAAAAUAUGAUUGGAUGUGCUAUAUUUGAAUCAUGGGAUGGUCGACAUGUGUUUGGGGAUUGCGUUGAAUGGCCAUAAUUGAUUCCUAUUUGUUCCCUUCGUGAGUCUUCGGUCACAAAGUUUUUGAACUGUUUUGUUGUUGUUAUGUCAUAAUGAUUAAAGUUUGAAGUUUGAAUCUUCUUUGAAGAAUGAAGAUAUGGUGGAUGAAUAUCCGUGUGGCUUUUUGGGUCAACUGACAAGGGCGUAGCUUUUUCACUCUAGCAGAUGGGACUAUCACCUUUCGUGGGUGCACGAAGGUGUCUUGUGUCGUAAUGUGUUUCCUAACAUAAGGAUGUUCAGAUGUCUCUCUAUAGGCUUUGUCCAUUACUGGGUGAACUUGAUGUCCUACUCUAGCCUUAUAUCAUGUCUUGGACUCCCACCAAAAAAGUAAUGCGAGAAAGGGCACCUGUGGUUCGGUGCCAGGUUAGGAUGAAGGUGGAGACCUCGUUUAGGGGUGUCCUCAAGAUGCAUCUCAAAGGCUCGACAAUCUCAUGAAACUCAACUUUUCCUACAAAGGUGAUACUGUGCUACAAGCCAUGUUUCCUCUUCCAGCUGGGAGAGGAUCCAAUUCUUAUGAGCGAAAAGCAUCAGAGCAUGGUUGAAAUUGGUAAGGGAAGGAAUAGGCUUGUGUGACCAAGGUUAGGGUUGCUACCGAGAGCCUGAAGGUUUGCAGUAACAGGAGGCUCAGGGAAAAGUUCAAGAACAAAGCAGCUAUGUAUGUUCCUUUUUGCUCCAGGUUUUAACGGCUUCUUCUUGAGACAAAGAACACAUGGUUUGAAGAAGAAGCUUACUAAUUGUAUUUUGCUUGUAUUAGCAGACUAGAAUAGUCACUUUUACUCUUACCCAAGUAUGUAUGCUUACCAAUCGAGUUCCUGAAGAUGCAGAUAUAUGAUUCUCCAGAGAAGUGGUUGAAGAUUAACAGUGUUUUCGAAUUCACUGAGGUACUCACUUUGAAUUCUGAUGCUACAGAGGAUAAAUAUGACAGCAAUGAGUUCUCAAAUGGUUUCUUUGCAGAUGAGCUAAUCCAUUCACCCUGUUAACAAAAGUUCUUUUAAAUAUUAGAAAGAUAUUUCACACAA